GCAGAAUUGCAGAUGCGGCGCACAUGCGAACGUAACAAACACAGCAACACGCCCACGCUAGCGGUUUCCAUUUCCGGCCCUGCAAUCCUGCACCGGCGCGAAAGCCCCCUCACGGCCUCACCUCCACUCCGGUGAUGGCCGCCUCUCCUUUACUUCUCAGAUCUCAGUGCUCACGCCGUCCACGGUCCACUAGUUGCAUCGGCUCCCGCAUAAAGAUCCACACCACUUGAGCAGCAGCUAGCUCAAGGGAAGGAGAAGGCUGGAAGUGGAAAGAAGUGGGUUCUUGCUUGAGCUGAGCUCUUGCUGCCCUUGAAUCUGUUAGGGAGUGGAGAACGGAGUAUGGGGCGCGGCAAGAUCGAGAUCAAGAGGAUCGAGAACUCUACCAACCGGCAGGUGACCUUCUCCAAGCGCCGGGCCGGACUGGUCAAGAAGGCACGGGAGAUCGGCGUGCUCUGCGACGCCGAGGUCGGCGUCGUCAUCUUCUCCAGCGGCGGCAAGCUCUACGACUACUGCUCGCCCAGGACCUCGCUGUCCAGGAUCUUGGAGAAGUACCAGACCAACUCCGGGAAGAUUCUGUGGGGUGAGAAGCACAAGAACCUGAGUGCAGAGAUCGACAGAGUCAAGAAGGAGAACGACAACAUGCAGAUUCAGCUCAGGCAUCUGAAAGGCGAGGACCUGAACUCCCUGCAGCCCAGGGAGCUGAUCGCUAUUGAAGAGGGCCUCCAGAAUGGGCAGACCAACAUGCGCGAGAAGCAGAUGGACUACUGGAGGAUGCACAAGACGAAUGGGAAGAUGCUGGAGGACGAACACAAGAUACUGACUUUUAGGAUGCACCAACAGGCUGUUGAUCUGAGCGGCGGCAUGAGGGAGCUGGAGACCGGAUACCAUCAGGUCCAGCACGACAGGGAUUUCAUUUCCCAGAUGCCGUUCACCUUCCGGGUGCAGCCCAACCACCCCAACCUGCAGGAAGACGAGUAGCUACAGCCUGCUGGAUAGUGUUCUGCAUGCCGCUCUGAACUGAAGCUGCAGGAAGACGAGUAGCUACAGCCUGCUGGAUAGUGUUCUGCAUGCCGCUCUGAACUGGAGCUCCUCACCUGCAGCUUCUAUCUCGCGUUUCAUCAUUCAGCGUUAGCUGGUGAUGAUGAUGUUGGGGCGAAGGCGGAGACGCUACCCUUGGCUCGAUGCCUUCGUCGCCUUCGUCGUCUCGCUUCACCAACGAUGCCAAAGACGUCGGUCCGAUGAGGACUUCGCGACUGGACUUCGCGGGCGUCCUUCGCCCUUCUCCAUUGCGAGACGAAGGCAAGACUCCGACGAUGUCUGCUAGCCUCACGUCCUCAUCGGGUCCGGAAGCCCAAGGGAGAUUCGGUCCACUGUAACGGGCCCCGCAAGGAUAAGCGUGUUACGGGCCUCAUCUGUAAUAGUCUUUUCUGUAAUGACGGUCUGUAACCUCCCCUGGGGAAUAUUCUAAGGAUACUUUGGGUUCCCGAGGGCAUAAACGUCAUUUUUUUA
Zea mays is the source of this 1509-nucleotide RNA transcript. It is a transcript of the gene named MADS29, with no coding region annotated. NCBI's taxonomy places the organism in Eukaryota, Viridiplantae, Streptophyta, Magnoliopsida, Poales, Poaceae. The record is from RefSeq and is marked provisional. The transcript has 8 exons.